RNAcentral lists this long non-coding RNA (2429 nucleotides) under Malus domestica (apple). Its description in RNAcentral is "long non-coding RNA (MDOM_LNC001552)". The record is from RNAcentral. Lineage: Eukaryota; Viridiplantae; Streptophyta; Magnoliopsida; Rosales; Rosaceae.
AAAAAAAAAAAAGCAAAAAAAUCAUUAUUCUUACCGUAAAGCAUAUAUACUAUUCAACCUGUCAUUCUCUAUCUAUAUGAUUCAUCCGGAUCUUUUUUUACUAAAUCCACCUAGUUCAGAAUUCAGACUAUUGAAAUUUGAUUCAACAGCUACAAAUAAGGAGUUAUUUUAAAAAUUUGGGAUUAAAAUCCAACGGCCUGAAUCCCGAACUAGAUAGAUUUGGUGGAAAAUGAUCAGGAGAUGAUCCCUUUCUUAUGAUCAAAGUCUAAAAUAUCGAUGAUAUCGGAAAUAUUGGUAGUCCAAAAACACGGAAAUUUCGAUGGAAAUAUCGGGAUAUUAUCGAUAUCGAUAAAAAUUGAAUAAAAACUACGAAAAUUGUAAGAAAAACUUGGAAAUUUUUAUUGAAAUUUUGCAUAAUGUUUAUUUAGUCAAUUAUCUAUUAGUUAAUCAUAAAAAAAUUGGAAGGACAUAAAAAAUUGGAAGGAAAUGCAUUGCAUGAUGGAUUUAACUGAUUUAAGUUGAUUAUAUAACGAGCUAGCAAACAUUGUGAGUGUAGAAAAUAUGUAGUAAUUAAUAAAAGAAAUUUAAACACACCAUAAUCAUUUAUAAUAAUGAAUUGGUACAAUAUUUUACACUUUAUACAUUACAUGGUAAAAUACAUGAGUGACCUAGUACAAUAUAGAGUUCCUAUCAAUGUCUAAAAUAUCGAUGAUAUCGAAAAUAUCGGUAGUCCAAAAACGCAAAAACUUCGAUAAAAAUAUUAAGAUAAUAUCAAUAUUUUAGACUUUAAUUAUGAUUCAAUAUAUGUUUACUGAAUCUGCUGCAGCAACUCAAAUACCCAUCUCAUGAGCACCAGUUACUGCCCCCUCAGUCGACAGGUGUCCCGGCAAAGCGUGCUGUUUGUGACAAGAUAUGGACAACAAAUAUCUCAAAACCAUGCAUGCUAUGCAGUCGUAGUGAUUUUUGCAAGUCUCAAAAAAGUUGCUUCAGCCCAGACAACUUGCGGAAGUUUGGGACCAAAGCCAACUAUAACGCAGCACACCAACCACAACUCUGAGAGAGCCUUAUCUUCCGGCACUUACAGUACGAACCAUCUCCAUUAAUGACUUCAUGCUUCACGAAAACAAUCAGCCAUUGGCCAACAAAACAGCUUUUCGUAUCAUCAGCUUAACUGAAAAGCGAAAGUGAAAAAUAUGAGUCAAAUCAGAAUUAUGAGACAAGUACUAUCUUUGUUAAGCAUAGUUAGCGUCUGUUUAGCACGGGUCAUGCUUAGGCAACUAGGGCAGGAAUCUUCUCUAAUGUUCAAACUAGGCACUGCAAUGAUUGUCCAUGUUUAAGAUGGUUUAGCACUGAAAGAUUCUACUCUAUCUCCAAGGAUAUGUUUUUAUGUGCAUGUCUAACUGACCACGUUUCUUUUUAACACCAACUAUUGUUCAGUUACAACUGUAUUUAAAAUUGUGAUAUUUUAAAUCAUGACAUGUAGAUAUAUUUCAGAUGGAUGAAUUCAAAUAUUUUAUCCUACUACCGAAGAUAUAUCUCUAUGUAAGUGCUUCAGUCAUCAUACUUCUCAUAGCACCAACUAUUGUCAUAAUUGUACCCAAAAUCAUGACACUUGAUAUAUUUUAAAAUAGAUUUAGCACGGAAAUAAUCUAUCCUACCACCAAGGAUAUAUAUCUCCAUGUAAGUGCCUCGAUCUUUAUAUUUUACAUAAGCAUUAGCUAUUGUCAAGCCAUAACUGUAACCAUAAUCAUGACAUACAUUAAAAUGGAUUUAGCACCUAAAUAAUCUACCCUACCACUGAGGAUAAUGCCUCUGUCAUCACUUCUCAUAAGCACCAGAUAUUGUCAACCCGUAACUGUAACCAUAAUCAUGACGCUUGAAUUAUUUGUAUGUUUAUGCCAUAUGAACUGCCAGGACAAAGAAUAUAUAUGUAUAUACAUAGUUGCGCCAAAAGUGGAAAGAUGUGAUCAUGUGAAUUUGCCUUUAAAAUACCAAUAAAGAAGCAAACUCCACCAAAUUCAAAGGCAGCGGAGAGCCAACUUCAACAAGCUAGCAUGGAUGUAGAGAAUGUCUUCCAUAUGACUGGAGGAGUUGGCCUUACUAGCUAUGCCAGAAAUUCUUCACUCCAGGUUCUCUCCCUAACUCUCUCUCUCUCUCUCUCUCUCUCUCUCUCUCUCUCUCUCUCUCUCUCUAUAUAUAUAUAUUCUUAAUUUUGUCAUUUAAUUGAUGUUAGAAGUGUUAUAUAUAUAUGUGUGUGUUCACGAUGUUUUUUCCUAAUUAUAUUUUUCUUUCUAAUUCUGAUCAACAGAAGAAGGCACUGAUAUGUAAAAAUUAUUUAAGAGGCAAUUACAAAAAAUUACCUCACCACAACUCCAAAGAGCUUAGGCAUAGCUGAUUUUGGGCUGUUCAAUCUGGACCCAACACCUUAU